CCAUAUAGAGAUGCAAAUGACGUCUUCGUUUAGAUUUUCACACGUUAUGUUUAUCAGAGUUGAACGAAUUUAAUUCUCAUUGAACUCUUCACAUUUCGAGACAUUUGCCAUUAUCAUUUCACGCCACCCAUGAUCAUUUUUGGUUUCGUUUACAAUUCAUAUUCAUAGAUAUCUAGUAAUACUCCAAGUGCUUCUUCGGCUGCCUUAUGCAGCACAUUAAUUGCAUAGGCGCCAUUCGGUUUGUUCCAUAUUUAUAGUUUCUUUUAUACAAAUACUAAUAUUAGCAACUGAGAUGUGGCAACUCGGAAGAUGCAAUUAAACAACAACUUAUCGUGUAUAAAUAAUAUUUUUUG
Molecule: long non-coding RNA, 353 nt
Organism: Drosophila guanche
Lineage: Eukaryota; Metazoa; Arthropoda; Insecta; Diptera; Drosophilidae
Exons: 3
Source: RefSeq, a predicted model, not a curated record